This 255-nucleotide long non-coding RNA is filed under the name Lathyrus oleraceus (garden pea). RNAcentral's name for it is "Pisum sativum (pea) long non-coding RNA (PSAT_LNC022214)". The record is from RNAcentral. Lineage: Eukaryota; Viridiplantae; Streptophyta; Magnoliopsida; Fabales; Fabaceae.
AGAGACCAUGCCUAGUAAGCCAAGCUCCUACAACUUGCCAUGCCAAAAAAAAAGAAGGAAAGGCCUUGUAUGGAUUUCAGGUUCUUUGCUUGACCAAGAAGCAACCUAUCUUUGACACAAAGCAACUCACUUGAUCUUUGAUCGAGUUGAGUUUGCUUUGGAUCAAAGAAGGUUAAGCCUCUCAUAUGUCUAGACUAACCAUAAAUCAUUAACUCAUAGGCCAAAAGAAAAAGAAGAAGAAAAGAGAUGAAGAUG